This is a long non-coding RNA of Oreochromis niloticus (Nile tilapia), 609 nucleotides long. RefSeq lists it as uncharacterized. The transcript is spliced from 3 exons. The record is from RefSeq and is a predicted model, not a curated record. NCBI's taxonomy places the organism in Eukaryota, Metazoa, Chordata, Actinopteri, Cichliformes, Cichlidae.
GCUCUGUUGUUGUUGUUGUUUUAUUAAUCAAACAGCAAAACAAGUACAACUUCCUCUCUUACUUCUUACAUCUCCCGCCAAAUAUUUACGGAAGUGAGCAGAGCGCAUUACCACAGUGGAUUUGUCGACGGGCAUACCGUGUGGUCUGGCUCACAGAGAAGUGCUUGAUCUGCAGAGCAUUCUUGUUGGACUCCAGCUGGUCGAAGAUGUCAGCCAAACCUCCAGGAGCAAAUGGGACGUGGUACUCCACCACAGUCGAGUGCUGGUCCUGUGUGUUGAAAAAGGAUGACCAAAUGGAGCCCAGGCAUCGGAACUGACCUUUCACCAUGAUGGCAAGACGGCUGCACAGUGCCUCACAUUCCUCCAUGCUGAGAUUUGGAGACAAAGAGGGAAAGAUAAAAGGUCAUACAAAGGUCCAUUAGGAUAAAAGUAAUUACCCAUGCCAGCUGUCACACAGAAAUAAAAAUAUAUAUAUUUAUAUAUGUUAUUGCAUUUGUUAUCUAGAGUAUGCUGUGGGAAAAAGAUUGAAUGGCUUUCUCCUAGAAUGCUAAUCAUCUCUGCACAAAUCUCUCCUUUGUGCUAAGGUCAUAUAAUGGGUGCAUGAUAUCU